This 442-nucleotide ribosomal RNA is filed under the name uncultured bacterium. RNAcentral's name for it is "partial 16S ribosomal RNA". It matches the Rfam family "Bacterial small subunit ribosomal RNA", at positions 338 to 795 of the family's 1533-position model. The record is from RNAcentral.
CCUACGGGAGGCUGCAGUGGGGAAUAUUGCACAAUGGGCGAAAGCCUGAUGCAGCAACGCCGCGUGAGCGAUGAAGGCCUUUGGGUCGUAAAGCUCUGUCCUUGGGGAAGAAAAAAAUGACGGUACCCUUGGAGGAAGCCCCGGCUAACUACGUGCCAGCAGCCGCGGUAAUACGUAGGGGGCAAGCGUUAUCCGGAAUUAUUGGGCGUAAAGAGUGCGUAGGUGGUUUUAUAAGCGCGAGGUGAAAGGCUAUGGCUCAACCAUAGUAAGCCUUGCGAACUGUAAGACUUGAGUGCAGGAGAGGAAAGUGGAAUUCCUAGUGUAGCGGUGAAAUGCGUAGAUAUUAGGAGGAACACCAGUGGCGAAGGCGACUUUCUGGACUGUAACUGACACUGAGGCACGAAAGCGUGGGGAGCAAACAGGAUUAGAUACCCCAGUAGUC